RNAcentral lists this ribosomal RNA (440 nucleotides) under uncultured bacterium. RNAcentral's name for it is "partial 16S ribosomal RNA". It matches the Rfam family "Bacterial small subunit ribosomal RNA", at positions 338 to 795 of the family's 1533-position model. The record is from RNAcentral.
CCUACGGGUGGCAGCAGUAGGGAAUAUUGCUCAAUGGGGGAAACCCUGAAGCAGCAACGCCGCGUGGAGGAUGAAGGUUUUCGGAUUGUAAACUCCUUUUGUUAGAGAAGAUAAUGACGGUAUCUAACGAAUAAGCACCGGCUAACUCCGUGCCAGCAGCCGCGGUAAUACGGAGGGUGCAAGCGUUACUCGGAAUCACUGGGCGUAAAGAGCGCGUAGGCGGGAUAGCAAGUCAGAUGUGAAAUCCUAGGGCUUAACCAUAGAACUGCAUUUGAAACUGUUAUUCUAGAGUAUGGGAGAGGUAGGUGGAAUUCCUGGUGUAGCGGUAAAAUCCGUAGAGAUCAAGAGGAAUACUCAUUGCGAAGGCGACCUGCUAGAACAUAACUGACGCUGAUGCGCGAAAGCGUGGGGAGCAAACAGGAUUAGAUACCCGGGUAGUC